AGCGAACGCUGGCGGCAGGCCUAACACAUGCAAGUCGAACGAACUCUUCGGAGUUAGUGGCGGACGGGUGAGUAACACGUGGGAACGUGCCUUUUGGUUCGGAAUAACUCAGGGAAACUUGUGCUAAUACCGAAUGUGCCCUUCGGGGGAAAGAUUUAUCGCCAUUAGAGCGGCCCGCGUCUGAUUAGCUAGUUGGUGAGGUAACGGCUCACCAAGGCGACGAUCAGUAGCUGGUCUGAGAGGAUGACCAGCCACACUGGGACUGAGACACGGCCCAGACUCCUACGGGAGGCAGCAGUGGGGAAUCUUGCGCAAUGGGCGAAAGCCUGACGCAGCCAUGCCGCGUGAAUGAUGAAGGUCUUAGGAUUGUAAAAUUCUUUCACCGGGGACGAUAAUGACGGUACCCGGAGAAGAAGACCCGGCUAACUUCGUG
RNAcentral lists this ribosomal RNA (433 nucleotides) under uncultured bacterium. RNAcentral's name for it is "partial 16S ribosomal RNA". It matches the Rfam family "Bacterial small subunit ribosomal RNA", at positions 29 to 507 of the family's 1533-position model. The record is from RNAcentral.